GUGGGAUACGGGGACAUGCACCCCGUGACGAUCGGGGAAAGAUCGUGGGGUCCCUGUGCGCCAUCGCCGGUGUGCUGACUAUUGCCCUGCCCGUGCCUGUCAUCGUCUCAAAU
Gasterosteus aculeatus (three-spined stickleback) is the source of this 113-nucleotide non-coding RNA. The record is from Rfam. Lineage: Eukaryota; Metazoa; Chordata; Actinopteri; Perciformes; Gasterosteidae.